RNAcentral lists this ribosomal RNA (494 nucleotides) under uncultured bacterium. Its description in RNAcentral is "partial 16S ribosomal RNA". It matches the Rfam family "Bacterial small subunit ribosomal RNA", at positions 28 to 507 of the family's 1533-position model. The record is from RNAcentral.
GACGAACGCUGGCGGCGUGCUUAACACAUGCCAGUCGAACGGAAAGGCCUGCUUUCCCUUGUGGAUUGCGGGUACUCGAGUGGCGAACGGGUGGGUAACACGUGAGUGAUCUGCCCCCAACUUGGGUAUAAGCCUGGGAAACUGGGUCUAAUUCCCGAUAGGACUGCAGGGUGGUGCCUGUGGUGGAAAACGAUUUUCUAGUGGUUGGGGAUGAGCUCGCGGCCUAUCAGCUUGUUGGUGGGGUAAUGGCCUACCAAGGCGGCGACGGGUAGCCGGCCUGAGAGGGUGGACGGCCACAUUGGGACUGAGAUACGGCCCAGACUCCUACGGGAGGCAGCAGUGGGGAAUAUUGCACAAUGGGCGGAAGCCUGAUGCAGCGACGCCGCGUGGGGGAUGACGGCCUUCGGGUUGUAAACUCCUUUCGACCGCGAGGAAGCCACCUGGUUGGAAGGGUGGUGACGGUAGUGGUAGAAGAAGCACCGGCUAACUACGUG